Molecule: ribosomal RNA, 497 nt
Filed under: uncultured bacterium
Lineage: Bacteria
Description: partial 16S ribosomal RNA
Rfam family: Bacterial small subunit ribosomal RNA
Source: RNAcentral
GAUGAACGCUGGCGGCGUGCCUAAUACAUGCAAGUCGAGCGAACAGACGAGGAGCUUGCUCCUCUGACGUUAGCGGCGGACGGGUGAGUAACACGUGGAUAACCUACCUAUAAGACUGGGAUAACUUCGGGAAACCGGAGCUAAUACCGGAUAAUAUAUUGAACCGCAUGGUUCAAUAGUUAAAGACGGUUUUGCUGUCACUUAUAGAUGGAUCCGCGCCGCAUUAGCUAGUUGGUAAGGUAACGGCUUACCAAGGCGACGAUGCGUAGCCACCCUGAGAGGGGGAUCGGCCACAGUGGAACUGAGACACGGUCCAGACUCCUACGGGAGGCAGCAGUAGGGAAUCUUCCGCAAUGGGCGAAAGCCUGACGGAGCAACGCCGCGUGAGUGAUGAAGGUCUUCGGAUCGUAAAACUCUGUUAUUAGGGAAGAACAAAUGUGUAAGUAACUAUGCACGUCUUGACGGUACCUAAUCAGAAAGCCACGGCUAACUACGUG